GAUGAACGCUGGCGGCGUGCCUAAUACAUGCAAGUCGAGCGAACAGACGAGGAGCUUGCUCCUCUGACGUUAGCGGCGGACGGGUGAGUAACACGUGGAUAACCUACCUAUAAGACUGGGAUAACUUCGGGAAACCGGAGCUAAUACCGGAUAAUAUAUUGAACCGCAUGGUUCAAUAGUGAAAGACGGUUUUGCUGUCACUUAUAGAUGGAUCCGCGCCGCAUUAGCUAGUUGGUAAGGUAACGGCUUACCAAGGCGACGAUGCGUAGCCGACCUGAGAGGGUGAUCGGCCACACUGGAGCUGAGACACGGUCCAGACUCCUACGGGAGGCAGCAGUAGGGAAUCUUCCGCAAGGGGCGAAAGCCUGACGGAGCAACGCCGCGUGAGUGAUGAAGGUCUUCGGAUCGUAAAACGCUGUUAUUAGGGAAGAACAAAUGUGUAAGUAACGAUGCACGUCUUGACGGUACCUAAUCAGAAAGCCACGGCUAACUACGU
This 496-nucleotide ribosomal RNA is filed under the name uncultured bacterium. RNAcentral's name for it is "partial 16S ribosomal RNA". It matches the Rfam family "Bacterial small subunit ribosomal RNA", at positions 28 to 506 of the family's 1533-position model. The record is from RNAcentral.